CCUACGGGUGGCAGCAGUGAGGAAUAUUGGUCAAUGGCCGGAAGGCUGAACCAGCCAUGCCGCGUGAAGGUCAGUGCCCUAUGGGCGUUAAACUUCUUUUGUGCGGGAGCAAUAAUGGUCACGUGUGGCCAGACGAGAGUACCGUACGCAUAAGCAUCGGCUAACUCCGUGCCAGCAGCCGCGGUAAUACGGGGGAUGCAAGCGUUAUCCGGAUUUAUUGGGUUGAAAGGGUGCGUAGGCUGUGAGGUAAGUCAGCGGUGAAAUGCCCCCGCUCAACGGGGUGAAGUGCCAUUGAUACUGCCUGGCUGGAAUGCGGAUGCCGGGGGAGGAAUGUGUGGUGUAGCGGUGAAAUGCAUAGAUAUCACACAGAACACCGAUUGCGAAGGCAUCUCACGAAUCCGCGAUUGACGCUGAUGCACGAAAGCGUGGGUAUCAAACAGGAUUAGAUACCCGAGUAGUC
RNAcentral lists this ribosomal RNA (460 nucleotides) under uncultured bacterium. Its description in RNAcentral is "partial 16S ribosomal RNA". It matches the Rfam family "Bacterial small subunit ribosomal RNA", at positions 338 to 795 of the family's 1533-position model. The record is from RNAcentral.